GCUGAGAUAGACCAGUUGGUAGAACAUGAGACUCUUAAUCUCAGAGUCGUGGGUUCGAGCUGCAUGUUGGGCA
This is a non-coding RNA of Podarcis lilfordi (Lilford's wall lizard), 73 nucleotides long. The record is from the annotation of a GenBank genome assembly. NCBI's taxonomy places the organism in Eukaryota, Metazoa, Chordata, Lepidosauria, Squamata, Lacertidae.